RNAcentral lists this long non-coding RNA (729 nucleotides) under Serinus canaria (Common canary). RNAcentral's name for it is "lncRNA (ENSSCAG00000012850.1)". The record is from RNAcentral. Lineage: Eukaryota; Metazoa; Chordata; Aves; Passeriformes; Fringillidae.
AUAACAUGGGGUUACAUCAAUAGCAGGAAUUCUCUAAAUGCGGCAGUGACAUUUAACGCAGACAAUGACAGAUGAGUGUGGCACCCUGCUGGCAGCGCUGGCACUGGGCAGAGCUGUGCCCGGCUGGGGGCUGAGGGCACAGUGUUGUGCCAGCUGUGCUGGUGGCCAGCAGCUGCACCCGGGCGGAGCCGUGCCCGGCUGGGGGCUGAGGGCACAGUGUUGUGCCAGCUGUGCUGGUGGCCAGCAGCUGCAGAGCCCUCGCUGUUGCCUUGCAGGACGUGUCCGGCAACGCGGCGUUCCUGGCCUUCACCCCCUUCGGCUUCGUGGUUCUGCAGGGCAACAAGAGAGUUCACUUCAUCAAGUGGAACGAGGUGACCAAGAUGAAAUUCGAGGGGAAGACUUUCUACCUGUACGUAAGUCAGAAGGAGGAGAAGAAAAUCGUUCUCACCUACUUUGCCCCAACACCAGAAGCCUGCAAACACCUCUGGAAGUGUGGGAUCGAGAACCAGGCUUUCUACAAGUACGUGCUGCUUUGUGGGGCUCCAUCCAGGCACUGGGCUCAGUCACUGGCCAUGUGGCCUGUCCCAGUGGUCAGUCACUGGCCGUGUGGCCUGUCCCAGUGGUCAGUCACUGGCCGUGUGGCAUGUCCCAGUGGUCAGUCACUGGCCGUGUGGCAUGUCCCAGUGGCCCUGGCAGAGCCAGGUCUCUGCCCUGCAGGGUCCCUCUUUU